GAAUUUUCUCCAAUAUUUUACCCAAUUACCUCAUUAAUUAACCAAUAAAACCCAAAGAAAAGCCACCGAUUAACCUUCUUAAACAAACCGUUUCUACUUCCUUCGUUGAUAAUGGCAGCCGAUCAAAUUCAACCAAACCGUGUCUUUUUCCUUUCAUUAAUUAUUAUGGCAAUUGCGAACAUUAAUCUCUCUUCCCUCUCUUCGAUUAAAGAUCUAUAAUUAGCGAUGAACCUACGGAAUAAUGCUUAAAAUUCAAGGCAUACUAACGUUCAUCAUAAUCAUCAUUGAAUAGCAAAGGAGAACAUGAAAAGGACCAGCAAUAGCGAAAAAGCACAAUUAGGUUGCACCAUGGAUCCUUCAAUAGAUUUCGAGAAGGUACACUCUUUUUCUAUUUAUUCGUUUCAUGGUAUAUACAAUGCGCAAACGACACCCUUUUCACCAAUUAUUACGUUUUGGCAAUUUGUGUAUUGGCUUAAGUUGGAUUUCUCAUAACCAAAAAUAUAUAUAUAUUUGCUCGAUUAAAGAUUGAUUUUUUGCUAAUUAGAAUUGUCUGUGGAAGAGUUAAAUAAUUUGAUAGGAGCAUAAUAAUUAUCACUGAUAAUUUAUUAUUCAAACUCUUCGGUAGUCCCCAUUUAACUUUCCUUGAAACAUUUUUUGUCAGGUUUAUAUAUUAUAAACCUUGCAGUAUGGUCAAUCCAGAACAAUGAUUGAAUUAAUGAGAUGUUUUACUCCUUCUAUAGUUAGUUUAUCAGACAUUUUUGUAGAAUAUUUAGAAAUUUUGAUCCAAAAUAUCUGCUUCAAAUAUAAAACCCGAGUUAUUCUCGGAACCGAAUAUUAUAAUAUGUUAUAAUAUAUGUCCUCUAUAACAGCACAUCACUAUAGUAGCCAAAACAAUUCAGAACGAAUUAGGCUGUUAUAGAGAGAUUUGGCUGUAUAAUAUUCUUCACUUUUUGCUCUCUUCAUAUUUUAAUAGGGAAAACGAUGUUGGACUGUGUUUUCACUAUAUGUUGUCACCAAAAUUUCAAUCUUUUGGUCACUUGGCUUCACUUUCUUGCAGAUUCGCUUAAAAAUUGGAAGCGAAUUUUUUUUGUGUAACUGGAGCAAAACAUCAGCCUCUAUCAUCAUUAAUUUGUAAUGUCUUCCUUCUUCACUCUUUCUUUUUUAGUAAACUUCUUGUAUCGAGAUCUACUUCUAUUUAAUUACUUUCGGUACUAUUGGAGUUAUGCAUAUGGCUCCAUUAGUUUUUAUUCUUUCUGGCUUGCAGAUAAGAACNNNNNNNNNNNNNN
This 1286-nucleotide long non-coding RNA is filed under the name Nicotiana tabacum (common tobacco). Its description in RNAcentral is "long non-coding RNA (NTAB_LNC002892)". The record is from RNAcentral. Lineage: Eukaryota; Viridiplantae; Streptophyta; Magnoliopsida; Solanales; Solanaceae.